CAGAUAUUGUACGUACUUUGUUUCACAUAUGGGUUGGCUUCUGCAUCUUGCAAAGUGAGGUUGUAAGCCCUGCCCUGCAUAGGAGGUCUGGCCUGAUUCUAAUUUCUUAGGAACUCUCUCGCGUAAUGCUGGGCACUCAGACAUAUACGAAAAGUAUUGUUGAGGCGAUAGUAAAGUCGGUCCCUAUGAUCCUUGCCACAAUGUUGGCAAGUCCUACCGCGUCCUGUUAUUGGAAUAUAAAGAGGAGCUUGAGUCAUUGGCCUAGGUCUCUUUUUCUGCUGAACAGGCAUAAUAUGUGUUGGUCU
This 305-nucleotide long non-coding RNA is filed under the name Carica papaya (papaya). Its description in RNAcentral is "long non-coding RNA (CPAP_LNC007574)". Lineage: Eukaryota; Viridiplantae; Streptophyta; Magnoliopsida; Brassicales; Caricaceae. The record is from RNAcentral.